GCCUGGAUGGCUCAGUCGACAGAGCAUCAGACUUUUAAUCUGAGGGUCUAGGGUUCAAGUCCUUAUUUGGGCA
RNAcentral lists this transfer RNA (73 nucleotides) under Anguilla anguilla (European eel). It matches the Rfam family "tRNA". Rfam says of the family: Transfer RNA (tRNA) molecules are approximately 80 nucleotides in length. Their secondary structure includes four short double-helical elements and three loops (D, anti-codon, and T loops). Lineage: Eukaryota; Metazoa; Chordata; Actinopteri; Anguilliformes; Anguillidae. The record is from Rfam by way of RNAcentral.